This is a long non-coding RNA of Phyllostomus hastatus (greater spear-nosed bat), 2263 nucleotides long. RefSeq lists it as uncharacterized. The transcript is spliced from 3 exons. The record is from RefSeq and is a predicted model, not a curated record. NCBI's taxonomy places the organism in Eukaryota, Metazoa, Chordata, Mammalia, Chiroptera, Phyllostomidae.
GGACAGACACACAGAGGGAUGGUGGCCAUGAACUGAAAGAGGAAGAGAUUGGAGGGAUUCAUCUGCAAGCCUAGGAAUGCCAAGGAUUGAUAGCUACCACUGGAAGCUAGGAAAGAGAGCUGGUUCAGAAACAAAGUCCCUCCAAUGUUAAACAAGUGGAGAGCUGACCAGGAUAGCUAGUAAAGCAGGGAGAAAACCAGAUGAGGAAACUGAGGUACCUGCCAUGGGUCACAGAGCUGGUGUGCGAAGGAGCCUAUUCCAGAAUCCAGGCUUAUGCCCAUGCUCCCACCACAGACUGCACUUAUCAGGAAAUGAGACUGAGCUGCAAAUUCCUCCACUGGGUGCCACAGCAUCCUUCUUCCCCCUCAAGAUGAAAAAUAUUCCUCCUCUUCUCCAAGGCCGAUCUUUCCUUUAGGCCCUUAAAAAGUUGUCUAGGCCUUUAUUUUUAUUCCCUUGGAAGAUUUUGCUACAUCUACCAUCCUAUAUUUCUCUCACAUCACCUAUGUCUCACACCAAUGAAUUUGUGGACCAAAGCCAGUCAAAUGCUAAAUGAACAACAGAAAUCUUUUUCUUUGGACAAUAGCCAUCUUUCUAGUUGUCUUCCUUCUGCUUUUCUCCAGUGCAUUUUCCUUAAAGCGGAAGCUGCUCUUCAUGCCCUACUUCCCUCUCUUAACUCACCCUUGCAGUUUGGAUCCCAACUCACUGCCCUGAGGAUAAGCCCGUUGCUGAACUGGUCUCUCUUCAGAAACUUUUUCCCUCCCUGAACACUCACAACACACAGCCCUCAGUGCUUCUCAUUCUUUUACAAUUGAGUGCUUUCUUCCCUUAAAUCAUUCUUUAAUCUGCCCAUUUCUCUCCAAUGCUAGGGCAGGCUAACACCACCUCUCUUUCUGGGAUCCUGCCCCCCAACAAUCCUAGUCUCUGUCACACAGAGUGAAUCUUAAAAUGUACACUCAGCUGUGUCACACACCUGCUCACAAUUAGUGUGUCAUCAGUUUCCCUCUGUUUAUGGGACAAAGAUACAAGUCCUGCUGUCACUGAUAGGGUGGUAAUCUGGUCUAAUCCUCCUCUGCUGGUUUCUCUUGAGCCCUACAAUCUCUCUCUACUCUCAUUACCAUGGUCUUCUCUCAAGUUUACCUCUUUUGCAUAUCUGAACCUUUACCCAGGUGCUUCCUCCUGCCUGUAACCCUUGUCCUGCCCUUCCCCUGGUUGAUGCCUACUCAUCUUCAAAGAAGCCUUUUCUAAUCUUACCUCCAAAGAAUUGAUCAGGAUCCCAUUAUUCUUUCCAUAGCAUCAAAACUUCUAGUAUCCAUCCCAGUUGCACUGAACACCUUGCUUAUACUUAGCCUUGUACAUAGUAGGUUCUCUGCAUAUAUUUCAAAUGGAUGUUUUUUUCAAUUCUAUUUCUCUUCCUCACACUUAAAUGUUUGCUUCUCAGGGUUUUAUCCCUUUAGAGACAGACUUCUUGUGUUCUGUAUUAGUGGCACCACUUCUGCUCUGUCCCCACACUCAAGUCCUUUUGGUUCUCUCUGAGUGUUGUCCUGUUCCUUGAUCCCACACAUCCUAUCCAGUCUGGCCGAGUCUAUCUCUGCCAGGUGCCAAUGCUUCUCCCCAGCCCCUAUGGUUCUUGGGCUAUGAAGGAGUUUAUCUCUUUGCUCUAGUACAGCCCAACAUCCCCAAACGAUGGGUCAGCAUCAAAGGUUCUCCUCUAAAGCGUACAACAAAAUACCAGGGUUUAAUAUUUCUGUCCUGGUCCACUUACCUCUUCACUAUCUUAUAACCUUUAUAAAUAUGUCUUACCUUCAGACAAUCCCUAUAUUCAAAUUCUAUCCAUUUUCAAGGUCUAGUUCAAACACCUCCUCCAGGAAACCUUGUUUCAGAAACUAUAACUCUAACAUUGUAUCACACUAUCUCCAUACCUUAUUUGCUUAUGUAUCUUCAUUUCUCUUUAAAUCAAAGCUCUUAUGGAAAAAGUCAGAAAUGAAAGCCUCUUUAUUUCUUUUCUAGUGUCUUAGGACAGCAUAUUGCCCAGGUAGGUGAUCCUUCUCUGAAGGUCCCACCCCAGCACCCAUGAUAACGUGGCAUCUAAGAAAAAGCUCAAUCAACGUUUACUACAUUUAUAAGAACAGAGAGAGAAGUAAAAUAACAUGCAAAUCAAGAUAUUAUUAAAGGGGAGGUGAUAAACCCAGUGGAUUCUCUACUUUCACAUAUAAUAUAAAUUGUCAUUUCUCAGAGAUAGCAAAUGAAGCUUUAGGCCUUUUGG